Leptinotarsa decemlineata (Colorado potato beetle) is the source of this 1969-nucleotide long non-coding RNA. Lineage: Eukaryota; Metazoa; Arthropoda; Insecta; Coleoptera; Chrysomelidae. The record is from RefSeq and is a predicted model, not a curated record.
GCUUGAUAACUACAUUUCCAUUAUAGUUAAUCUCCCAUCCUUCGCAGACGUAGUGGAACUUUCCAGAAACUACGGAGCAGGCUUGGCGGUAACUUGAUGAGGAACUGGCUGAUACGUUGAGAUCUGGUGCACUUACAAAUGGAGGCCAAGUGUAUGCAACUGAGCAUACUAUCUAUGUAUAUAUUUGGUUAUAGAACUUCACUAUUUAAUGUUCUGCCACAGGGUCUUUUCUACUGUGGUUUUGCUACAAUCUACAUACCUAUUUAUGUAAAGAGUUUUUUUUUAACUCAUUUAAUUUCUUCCUGUCCUCCACAUGGAAAAGUAGAAAGCCAAACACCUUUCUUUCUAAUAUUACUAAUAGCUUUAUUUCAAAUGACUAUCUUUUCAGUAAGCAUAUAAGUAAGUUUUAAAAAAUAGGUGUCAAUGAAGUUGCUGACAAUCCCCAAAAACAGAAAUUUGUGCCAGCAAUUAAAAAUGAAUUAGAGAAUGAAGUUGAUAUUUUAGUAAUAUAAACAAUUGGCGUAUCCAAGGCUUUUAUAUAUUUUGUUCGUUUAUAUCUAAUCGGAAGUAACUAUCAACAAAUAGGUACCUAAUAAUAAAGAUGAAGUUGAACUUUUUUCAAAUAUGUAGAUAUUUCAUGAUUUAUAUUCGAGAUCAGGAAAAAGGAAAUCAAGGAAGAAGGAAAUGGUGUGGCCUUUCGCAUUUCAUGAAGAUCAGAAAAAAAUGGAAACUACGCAGUUGUCCCCUGCCUCGCUCGGUGUGUAUCGACCCAAGCAAACACUUCACAACUGCGACAUACGUUAUAUGUAAUUCCUACGCGUGGGAGAGAGACGGCUAGAUUUUGAGAUGAGUAUUACACCGUAACCGCUGAGAUCGAUAUGGCUGGGGACGCCAAGCAAACAAUCAGGAGGUCUCUGAAUGUUCUAGAAAAACGCAGUGGAAGGGGAGAACCUUUAAAUACUGUCCCGUUCCGAUUUUGUAACGCAGUCGAAAAUUUUACUAAGUGUGAUAAGUUGAAAAUGGUGUGGAGUAGUGGUGACCAAACAAAGCAGGCAGCUGUUGGGUGUGAUGCAAGAGGAUUGCAAGGAUUUGUAUAAGUCGUAUUCUUUUAGUAUCCAAUUUCAAACGUAGUUUUAAGGUAGCUUGCUGAAAUUUUGUCGAAAUUGAUUGAUUUAUGUGGUCUAGUUACACCUGGCCAGUGUAAAUGGGCCACGUCACAAUUUCCUUUAGUAGAAUUCGAAUUUAAUUAGUGGAACAACUUGUUUUCAACGAAUAUCAUUUGUUUAAAACGAUUACAAAAUGAGCAAGUUCGAUUUAUAAUAAUUGUUCCCUUAUGUGGUAUCAAAAGAUGUUAAUUAAUUUCAGAGUUUUUCAACAUAAUGAUGUAAUUGCGUCAUUGCGCCGUGUCCCAAAAUGGCGGCUAGGGUGCGGUCGUCACCAUCUUGUCGAAUCGAGAUCUAUCGAAACGAAAUCAUUGAGCGACCGUUAGGCAGAUUAAUUGAUUUUUAAGAGAGCAGAUUCGUAGAGUCUUAAGACCAUGGUAUGAUGAUAUUUUACUUAGAGAGGCCCUGGCCUCGCAUAGAUUUACCCGUCAGCUGCGCUGGCACACCUUUUGAGAAUUUUCUAGAUCGUGCUAUGGCAUAGAGAAGUCCGGUUCGUGUAAAGGAUGUCCCCCCAAAAUGAACUGCGAUUUUUGGUAUUCCCAUCGGAGUUUGUGAAUACUUUGAAUGAUUCUUGUAUUAUUUUGGUGUAUAUGGACAAUGUGUUCAUAAGCCUAUAUAUAUAUUUUUUUAUGAAACUUGCGAUGAAAUGCAUUUCACCUGAAAAUUAUGAAGAAACAACCCUAUUAUUGAUAACAUUGAUAUUUAUAUUCCUAUAGAAAAAUACCAUUAUCAUUAUUUGAAAACACUUCAUGGCGUUUGUACAACUUAACUUGAAUCUAAUAUGAAUAAAUACAUUUAAAAGCUUC